Molecule: long non-coding RNA, 1719 nt
Organism: Mytilus trossulus (common blue mussel)
Lineage: Eukaryota; Metazoa; Mollusca; Bivalvia; Mytilida; Mytilidae
Exons: 6
Source: RefSeq, a predicted model, not a curated record
AGGUACUUUCUGUGGCAUGUUUUCAUGGUGUGGGAAUAAGACUUGGUGGUCAAAUACAGCUAAUAUGUAGGUUAGCACCACAGCUUGUCUGCAAGGAUUGGAGCUGGGAAACGGCCAUUGGAGCUGAAUUUUAUGGAAGCUGUGGCUGCAGCAAUGAUUAUGUGAUAAAACUGAAGAAUGUUAUUCAAAUUUUUUUUGUAUAUAUUUCAAAAAAUGUAAUUUUUUAUAAAAAAAAAAAAAAGGUGUAAAGAUUCUCCAUUUUCAAUUAGAUUGGAAGCUUGUAUUUACAAUUGUUAGAUCUUCUUCGUUAUUCCCCCACCCCCUGUAUCUCUAUUUCAUUUUUACUUUGAAAAUGAAAUGGAACAGACAAAUUUUACUUGUCAACUUAAUAAUGGUGUCUAGUCAAAAGGCCUCCAGUUGGUUUAGAAUGGAGAAUCUAAAAAAAAAUAUGUAAAGUGUUUUUUUUUAGUUUCCUGAAUUUUUAUAUACAUUUUGUUAUUGCUCCCUUUCAAUUUUUAUAAAUUCCAGAUUUUAAGUUUUGGAUUUAUGGGGCUUUAUUCAUAAAAAAGGGGGAUUUUUCACACCUGGACAAUAACUUAAAAAGGCUUUCACCAAUGUCCAUGAAACUUUGGUGAAUUGUUUAUAUCUAUUGACAUAAGCUCCCUUUCCCUUUUUAUUAAUUUUAGAUUUUACGUUUUCUUAAGUAAUGAAUUUUUAUACUUAAAAAAGGGGGAUAUUAUGCAGUUUUGGUGAAACUUAAAAGAGCAACGGCCGUAUCAUGUGCUAAAGCGCAUCCCUUUAUUGAAAUGUGUUGUAGUUUUUACAUAUUAUUAUUUCUUUAUUUUAAUUAUACAAAUUUUGUAUUGUUAAAUAUUUAAAGGGUGUGGAGUCUCAACAGGGUGAAAUUUUCAGGACAAAAGGGAGGUAAUUCCUUUGUUAUACUCAUUAUACUUGAAAUUUCCUGAGUGUUUAUAUGGAAUAUAACUUUUUUAAUUAAAAUAUUCACUUUUGUACACAUUUUCUUUAAAUAUCAGAUGUAUACUUGCUAAAAUUACUUUUAUUUAGAGUUCUGUAAAUUAAAAAAAAUGUAAGCAGAGCUCUAGCUAUAGAUAAUAGAUUUGGAGGGUGGGAGAAAUUGUGGGUAACUACAAUUGAUUAGGUGAAAUUUCAAAAGACCUAAAAAGUGCAUCUGAUAUUUAUUUUUACAUAAUGUUAUUUCUGAAAGCAAAUGGACAAUAAGAUGAGGACAUAAACCACCUUCCAGGUUAGGAUAGCAGCUCUUAAAGAAGAUGGUCAAUUAAAUCUUCAACCCAGUCUGAGGCCUUACCAUGAAAAAUAUGUGGUUGUUGAAAUUACAAUGUUUUCAUGGUGUGGGGAGUAAGACUUGAAUAUCUGAUAUUGUUAACAUGAUGGUUAGCAUCACAAGUUUCCUUUGGGUAACUUGCUUGAGGAGUAAAGAGAGCUGUUUAAGUUGAAAGUGUCACCUUUGCUGCCUUGUGUGGUACAAUCUUCAGACAAUAUCCUGCAAACCGUGGCUGAACUGUUACUGUCUUUUUUUAGUAGAAUCCUUAGACAGUAAUCUUGUGGCAGAAUGAGUUGUAAACAAAUUGUUUUUAUUCCUGUAUUGAGUUUCAAAUUGGAUAUUUUUUUAUUUAUAUUAUUUGUAUUCCAUUUGCAUUCAAUUAUUGUUUUUUAAUUGAUGAAUCAUUAAAACUUAAA